Molecule: ribosomal RNA, 440 nt
Filed under: uncultured bacterium
Lineage: Bacteria
Description: partial 16S ribosomal RNA
Rfam family: Bacterial small subunit ribosomal RNA
Source: RNAcentral
CCUACGGGAGGCAGCAGUGGGGGAUAUUGCACAAUGGGGGAAACCCUGAUGCAGCGACGCCGCGUGUGGGAAGACGGUCCUCUGGAUUGUAAACCAUUGUCGCCAGGGACGAAGAUGACGGUACCUGGGGAGGAAGCUCCGGCUAACUACGUGCCAGCAGCCGCGGUAAUACGUAGGGAGCAAGCGUUGUCCGGAAUUACUGGGUGAAAGGGGAGCGGAGGCGGGGUGGCAAGUUGGGUGUAAAAUCUACGGGCUCAACUGGUAGCCGCACUCAAAACUGCUAUGCUUGAGUGAAGUAGAGGCAGGCGGAAUUCCUAGUGUAGCGGUGAAAUGCGUAGAUAUUAGGAGGAACACCAGUGGCGAAGGCGGCCUGCUGGGCUUUUACUGACGCUGAGGCUCGAAAGUGUGGGGAGCAAACAGGAUUAGAUACCCGAGUAGUC